AUCGAUAAGCUUGAUAUCCACUGUGGAAUUCGCCCUUUUCCGGUUGAUCCUGCCGGACCUGACUGCUAUCGGAAUGAUACUAAGCCAUGCGAGUCAUUGUAGCAAUACAAGGCAGACGGCUCAGUAACGCGUAGUCAAUCUACCCUGUGGACGGGAAUAACCUCGGGAAACUGAGAAUAAUACCCGAUAGAACAUUAUGCCUGGAAUGGUUUAUGUUUCAAAUGAUUUAUCGCCAUAGGAUGGGACUGCGGCCUAUCAGUUUGUUGGUGAGGUAAUGGCCCACCAAGACUAUUACAGGUACGGGCUCUGAGAGGAGUAGCCCGGAGAUGGGUACUGAGACACGGACCCAGGCCCUAUGGGGCGCAGCAGGCGAGAAAACUUUGCAAUGUGCGAAAGCACGACAAGGUUAAUCCGAGUGGUUUCUGCUAAAGAAACCUUUUGCCAGUCCUAGAAACACUGGUGAAUAAGGGGUGGGCAAGUUCUGGUGUCAGCCGCCGCGGUAAAACCAGCACCUCAAGUGGUCAGGAUGAUUAUUGGGCCUAAAGCAUCCGUAGCUCGUUUUGUAAGUUUUCGGUUAAAUCCAUGCGCUCAACGUAUGGGCUGCCGGGAAUACUGCAUAACUAGGAAGUGGGAGAGGUAGACGGUACUCGGUAGGAAGGGGUAAAAUCCUUUGAUCUAUUGAUGACCACCUGUGGCGAAGGCGGUCUACCAGAACACGUUCGACGGUGAGGGAUGAAAGCUGGGGGAGCAAACCGGAUUAGAUACCCGGGUAGUCCCAGCUGUAAACUAUGCAAACUCAGUGAUGCAUUGGCUUGUGGCCAAUGCAGUGCUGCAGGGAAGCCGUUAAGUUUGCCGCCUGGGAAGUACGUACGCAAGUAUGAAACUUAAAGGAAUUGGCGGGGGGAGCACCACAAGGGGGUGAAGCCUGCGGUUCAAUUGGAGUCAACGCCAGAAAUCUUACCCGGAGAGACAGCAGAAUGAAGGUCAAGCUGAAGACUUUACCAGAC
RNAcentral lists this ribosomal RNA (1007 nucleotides) under uncultured Nitrososphaerota archaeon. RNAcentral describes it as "bacterial SSU rRNA". It matches the Rfam family "Archaeal small subunit ribosomal RNA", at positions 1 to 976 of the family's 1478-position model. Lineage: Archaea; Thermoproteati; Nitrososphaerota. The record is from RNAcentral.